Molecule: ribosomal RNA, 253 nt
Filed under: uncultured bacterium
Lineage: Bacteria
Description: partial 16S ribosomal RNA
Rfam family: Bacterial small subunit ribosomal RNA
Source: RNAcentral
UACGUAGGGACCGAGCGUUGUCCGGAAUCAUUGGGCGUAAAGAGCGUGUAGGCGGCCACUUAAGUCCUGCGUGAAAUCUUGCGGCUCAACCGCAAGCGGUCGUGGGAAACUGGGUGGCUAGAGUGCGGGAGAGGAGAGUGGAAUUCCUGGUGUAGCGGUGGAAUGCGCAGAUAUCAGGAGGAACACCGAUGGCGAAGGCAGGUCUCUGGGCCGAUACUGACGCUGAGGAGCGAAAGCGUGGGGAGCGAACAGG